GUUACCCUGUAGCGCAAUGGGUAGUGCUUUGGACUUCUAAUUCAAAGACUGUGGGAUCAAAUCCCACCUGGGACG
This is a non-coding RNA of Trichonephila clavata, 75 nucleotides long. The record is from the annotation of a GenBank genome assembly. Lineage: Eukaryota; Metazoa; Arthropoda; Arachnida; Araneae; Nephilidae.